UGGCCUACCAAGGCGUCGACGGGUAGCCGGCCUGAGAGGGUGACCGGCCACAUUGGGACUGAGAUACGGCCCAGACUCCUACGGGAGGCAGCAGUGGGGAAUAUUGCACAAUGGACGCAAGUCUGAUGCAGCGACGCCGCGUGGGGGAUGAAGGCUUUCGGGUUGUAAACUCCUUUCAGUACAGAAGAAGCAUUUUUGUGACGGUAUGUGCAGAAGAAGCGCCGGCUAACUACGUGCCAGCAGCCGCGGUAAUACGUAGGGCGCGAGCGUUGUCCGGAAUUAUUGGGCGUAAAGAGCUCGUAGGCGGUUUGUUGCGCCUGCUGUGAAAGACCGGGGCUUAACUUCGGGGUUGCAGUGGGUACGGGCAGACUAGAGUGUGGUAGGGGUAAUUGGAAUUCCUGGUGUAGCGGUGGAAUGCGCAGAUAUCAGGAGGAACACCGAUGGCGAAGGCAGGUUACUGGGCCAUUACUGACGCUGAGGAGCGAAAGCGUGGGUAGCGAACAGGAUUAGAUACCCUGGUAGUCCACGCUGUAAACGUUGGGCACUAGGUGUGGGGCCUUUUCCACGGGUUCUGCGCCGUAGCUAACGCUUUAAGUGCCCCGCCUGGGGAGUACGGCCGCAAGGUUAAAACUCAAAGGAAUUGACGGGGGCCCGCACAAGCGGCGGAGCAUGCGGAUUAAUUCGAUGCAACGCGAAGAACCUUACCAAGGCUUGACAUACACUGCGAUGUGCCAGAGAUGGUGCAGCCUUCGGGGUGGUGUACAGGUGGUGCAUGGUUGUCGUCAGCUCGUGUCGUGAGAUGUUGGGUUAAGUCCCGCAACGAGCGCAACCCUUGUCCUGUGUUGCCAGCAUGUUGUGGUGGGGACUCACGGGAGACUGCCGGGGUUAACUCGGAGGAAGGUGGGGAUGACGUCAAAUCAUCAUGCCCCUUAUGUCUUGGGCUUCACGCAUGCUACAAUGGCCGGUACAGAGGGUUGCGAGCCUGUGAGGGUGAGCUAAUCCCUUAAAGCUGGUCUCAGUUCGGAUUGGGGUCUGCAACUCGACCCCAUGAAGUCGGAGUCGCUAGUAAUCGCAGAUCAGCAACGCUGCG
This 1090-nucleotide ribosomal RNA is filed under the name Trueperella pyogenes. RNAcentral's name for it is "bacterial SSU rRNA". It matches the Rfam family "Bacterial small subunit ribosomal RNA", at positions 261 to 1361 of the family's 1533-position model. The record is from RNAcentral. Lineage: Bacteria; Bacillati; Actinomycetota; Actinomycetes; Actinomycetales; Actinomycetaceae.